CGUCGAGUCGGCCGGCUCCGGUCCACGGCGUCGAACCCCUAUAGUCCAAGUUCUGGGCGUCAGGGGAAGACUCCGAUGGAGCGGAGGAGGACGAGGCAAGUCCCGGAUUGGCGACACCAUCGACACCGACCUUCAUCAACGAAGCUUUGGCUGCAGGCUUCACGGUCGAACAGCUAGCAAGGGCGGAGCAAGCACAGGAUUCAGGUAAAAGUUCAUCGCCUACUGCUCAUCAAUUACCUAAUGUAAUUGUGUCAGAGUUGGUUCGGAGAACCAUCGCGAUGUCACCGUGGAAGGGUCCUCUACCCAGCCCUCGAGUUUCCCCGUCGAGGACGCUUGGGGAUUGCCUUGCCAUGGCGAGCAGACGGCAUACAGGUCCUCCUGGUGGAUCGGCCUUGUCAUCGAGACGGCCGAGAUCGUCGGCAAGGCCUAUGCCGAGCAGUGUUUAAAAAAUUUUCAAAUCUCCGGAAAACCAGGACAUCGAUCCAAAUUUUUCGCCGCUUCCAAACGUGCUGCUUCCAGCAUCGGCUGCGUGCACGGCGUCAGGUACGGCAAAGGAGUUGCAUGCCACCGUUCCAGGACCGGUUGACUUGGUGCUUAUCAGGCCUGGCAGAUUUUUUAGGCCCACGAAAGGGCUGUGUGCUCUCUUCAAGCGCACGGGAACCAGGCAGCGACGUUUUCCCGUAACCAAGCUGCCGCUCGUGCCUUCCGCAUCUAAGCAACCCUUGUUCGCAGAGGUCGUCUGAGAGGGCAAAACAAUGGCGGCACAUGGGAUAGGCAAUGGUUGCGCUAACUCCCUCAACUCAGGCUCUCGUGGCAUGGGUCGCGGUGAGCGGCAACACGGUGCUGGUUUUGGAGGAGGGUGGAGUCGUGGGGUUUGGCAGAACCCUAGGCGGCUUCACUACCAUCCUACGGCGCCAAACCAGCCUCCACUGCACCAGCCUCCUCUGCCGGCAGCGGCUUUGGGAAGUAAGCAACCAGCAGCAGAGCAAGGCCAUCAUCCCCCUCAGUCCACUGCACCUAACCCGAUCAAGGGGCAGCGCCACAACCUGGAACAACAACAACGACAAGGGUUACGCAGGGAACAAUUGAUGCCAUUGUCCCGCCAACCUCCGACGCAGCUGAUAUUUCAAAUGAUCCAGCAGAGUCAUCCCAAAAAGGAGGAAACCAAAAGAGCAAGGGUAAACCUUACUGCUAUCGGCGUCACACUAAAGGGCAUACACUUUCUGUUUGCACUGUUGUACUUUGCUGUGAGCUUUGCUUUGGCGAUCAUGUCAAAAAAGUGUGCCCAAAUCUGAAAAAUCUGUAAUCUACUGCUAUACCUUGUGGGUAUGCUGUAGAAGGUCUAGGGUUCUAUUUUAUACCUGUGGUUAAGAAUCCUAAAAUUCUUUCAGAUGAUAAAUCCGCAGUGGUAUGUGUGUUGGAAGGUUCUCUUACUGCUGACCAGUUAGCAGUGGAACUUGACAAACUACUACCUGAGAAUAGUUGGGUCAUUGAGGAGAAAGGAAAUGAUGCUUUUACUACUAAUUUCCCAUCAUCUGAAGUUCUUAGCCAUAUGGUCACCUGGGCCCAAUGGACACAAAGACAGUAAAGAGAAAGAUUCGGUUCGAAAAGGGGGCCGAGAAUGAUGUGUUCAAGUAUGAAAUCGAUAAGGUAUGGGUGCAAUUCAGGGGCUUACCUAAGGAGCUACGAGAAUUUCCUAUCAUUUGGGCAAUUGGCUCAAUUUUAGGUGUUCCUCGUGCAAUCGAUACAAAAUUUACCAAGAAGUAUGGUAGAGCUAGGCGAUUAACCAACUCGGAUAAGAAAUGUGUUUUGAAUUCGGACAGCACAAGACUAAUCCGGCCAUUAGUACACAUACUGAGCAAAUGGUUAUAGAUUUGCCGCCUCAGCUUCCAGGAACUGCAGGUGUUCAGCAGGGUGUAAUUAGCUGACAUCAGCAAGUUAAUCUGGCACGUACAGGAUCAGAUCCGGUGUGAAUAAAAAAUGCUUCUAAACCAGUGGUGUUGCUCACUCAGACCGAGAUGACUCCAGAUGGAUCUGCUCUUUGGAAAGCUAGCUCAAUGCAGUCCAAGAGCAACUCAGAUAUUCUUAAUAAGACUUUAGAGCUGAGCGGCAGGACAGUGUCACCAGUUAGAGCAAGUAAAAGAAAUGUGUCCACUUCGGAGCAAGACUCGUUGGAGAAGGUUACGAAGUUAAAGGCGUGCAAAAAUUUGGAUGCAGCAUCACUCAAAAGGUAAAAAAAUUCAGCCGCGCUCUUUCAAUUCUCUUGAUGACUCUACUUUAUUAGCUACUACUAGUGCAUUAGGGGUGUCUUUAGGUAACAGUGAUCAAGAGAUUGCUUUUUCUUUGAAGUCAUUAAAAGAUCUGGAAUCUCAUAGAUUGUCUGAGAGCUCUAGUUUACAAGUAAAUAAUAAUUUUGGAGUGGAUGAUUUUUUUCUCUGUUUGUUCUGCGGAUGAGAAUUUGGAUUUAGAGACUUUAAACAUCUUGUGUGCUGAUAUUACUGAAGACCUAGGUGAUGGGGGCUGUGACCCUUUCGAUAUACAGACCCCCUUAUCACAGGUCAAAAAACAUAGAUUGUUUCUUAGAAAAAAGAAAAAAUAAAAAUAACUCAAGAUGAGAGGAAUUUUCUAGAAUUGCAAUGGGUUUGCUGACAAGAAAAAAUAUAGAUUUCUAUCUGAUCCGACGAAAGAAAAGAACUUAGAUUUCAUAGCUUUAUCGGAGACUGGUAGAGCCACAUUCCCACAUUUUACCCUGAAUAAUAUUUGUGCUGGCAGGAAUUUUAUUUGGCAUUGCAUGGCUCCUAGGGGUCGGUCUGGUGGCAUGAUUCUGGGUGUAAAUCCUUUAACUUUUGACAUUGGUCAGAUAGAAGAGGGGGACUUUUUUAUCCGGUUCAAAUUAAGACACAAGGAGGAUGAUUUUAAGUUUAAUUUAAUCUCAGUUUAUGGCCCAGCUCAGUCCGAAUUCAAAACACAUUUCUUAUCCGAGUUGGUUAGAGUAUGUUCAAAAGAAUCCAUGCCUAUUAUCAUAGGUGGUGACUUUAACAUUAUUCGUAACCCAGAUGAGAAAAAUACUGAGACGUUCAAUGAGCGGUGGCCUUUUCUUUUUAACGCUGUUAUUGAUACGUUAAAUCUUAGAGAGCUUGAGAUGUCAGGCAGAAAGUUUAUUUGGGCUAAUCGCCUAUAGAACCAGACUUUUGAAAAAUUAGAUAGGGUUCUAGUUUGUACAGAUUUUGAGUCCAAAUAUCCACUUACAAAUGUACUUGCUUUGAGCUGAGAGAUUUCUGACCAUACUCCACUUUUACGUACAACAAACAAUCCUUCCCAAGCUUACCAACCCCAAUGGGAUGGUUGCUUAGAGACGGAUUCUGUGACAUGGUGCGAGACGUUUGGCAUAGUGUAGUCGUCGAAGGCACCCCAUUAGAGAGGUGGCAAGCCAAGAUCAGAAGGCUUCGUCAUUAUCUAAGAGGGUGGGCAAAGAAUGUGAGUGGUGCUUAUAAGAAAGAAAAGAAGGAACUCCUAAAUAAACUCGAUGAACUUGACAAAAAGGCGGAAAACUCUUUACUCAGUGAAAUGGAAUUAAAUCUAAAACACGUGUUAAAUGAAAGACUUGCUGAAUUACUUCGAGAGGAAGAACUAAAGUGGUACCAAAGGGCAAAGGCAAAGCAUCUUGUAGAAGGUGAUGCUAAUACAAAAUACUUUCAUUUGUUGGCAAAUGGUAGACACCGAAAAACUCGUAUUUUCCAGUUAGAGGAUGGGGUUACUACAAUAAGUGGUGAUGUUCAGCUAAAUGAACAUAUUACCUGUUACUAUAAGAAUCUAUUUGGUCCUCCGGAAAUUUCAACUACAAACUGGAAAAUGAGUUUCUAACAAGUGUCUUUUUGGAGUCUGAGGUGAGGACUGCGGUGUUCCAAAUGGAACAUAAUAAAGCACCGGGACCGGAUGGUUUUCCACCUGAGUUCUAUCAAGUCUUCUGGGAUUUAGUAAAAGAGGAACUGAUGGCCAUGUUUACGGAACUCCAUGCGGGAACAUUGCCACUAAAUAGUCUCAACUUUGGGACGAUAAUCUUGUUACCAAAAAAUAAAGAUGCGAAAAGGAUUCAAUAAUACAGACCAAUAUGUUUGUUGAAUGUCUCUUUCAAGAUCUUUACCAAAGUAGCAACAAAUAGAUUAUCUAGUGUUGCCCACAAGAUCAUUAGACCUACGCAAACUGCUUUUCUCCCAGGUAGAAACAUUAUGGAAGGCGCAGUUAUAUUACACGAGACAUUACAUGAACUUCAUUAAAUUUGAUUUUGAAAAGGCUUAUGAUAGAGUAAAAUGGAGCUUUCUACAACAAACCUUAAGGAUGAAAGGCUUCUCACAAAAGUGGUGUUCUUGGAUACAACAGUUCACGCAAUGAGGUAAUGUAAACAUUAAAGUUAAUGACCAACCUAGUUCUUACUUCCAAACAAGGAAAGGCUUAAGGCAAGGUGACCCAAUGUCUCCAAUACUAUUGAAUAUAGUAGUAGACUUGUUGGCCAUACUCAUUGCUCGGGCAAAGGAAGUGGAUCAGGUGGAAGGGGUCAUCCCCCAUCUUGUCCAAGAUGGUCUUUCCAUCCUUCAAUAUGCAGAUGACACUGUGAUUUUCAUGAGUCAUGAUCUGGACAGGGCGUUGAACAUGAAAUUAAUUUUAAGUACCUUCGAGCAACUUUCGGGGCUAAAAAUAAACUUCCACAAGAGUGAGAUAUUUUGUUUUGGUAAAGCAAAGGAGCAUGAAGCAUUUUACUCGCAGCUUUUUGGGUGCAGGUUGGGAAAAUAUCCAUUCCGGUAUCUGGGUUUACCUAUGCACACU
RNAcentral lists this long non-coding RNA (4824 nucleotides) under Sorghum bicolor (sorghum). RNAcentral's name for it is "long non-coding RNA (SBIC_LNC005526)". The record is from RNAcentral. Lineage: Eukaryota; Viridiplantae; Streptophyta; Magnoliopsida; Poales; Poaceae.